GCGUCGGUCGUCCAACGGCAGGGCCCGGGGCCUCCAACCCCGUGACGAGGGAUCAUCCCCCUCCCGUCGCACCA
RNAcentral lists this transfer RNA (74 nucleotides) under Candidatus Sigynarchaeota archaeon. Its description in RNAcentral is "tRNA-Gly". It matches the Rfam family "tRNA". From Rfam's summary of the family: Transfer RNA (tRNA) molecules are approximately 80 nucleotides in length. Their secondary structure includes four short double-helical elements and three loops (D, anti-codon, and T loops). Lineage: Archaea; Promethearchaeati; Candidatus Sigynarchaeota. RNAcentral also lists the same sequence under 1 other name. The record is from RNAcentral.